GGCACGGUGGUGCAGCGGAUAGCACUAUCGCCUCACUGCAAAAGGGUCCCAGGUUUGAAUCCCGACGGAGCCU
Molecule: transfer RNA, 73 nt
Filed under: Anguilla anguilla (European eel)
Lineage: Eukaryota; Metazoa; Chordata; Actinopteri; Anguilliformes; Anguillidae
Description: tRNA-OTHER
Source: RNAcentral